Molecule: long non-coding RNA, 162 nt
Organism: Amphimedon queenslandica
Lineage: Eukaryota; Metazoa; Porifera; Demospongiae; Haplosclerida; Niphatidae
Exons: 3
Source: RefSeq, a predicted model, not a curated record
CUGCAAUUUUUGUUUUGUAGACCAGAAUUUCUAGGCUAAUAUGAAAAGACCCUCUCUCCAAAAAGAUUCAAUUAAAGAGAAUAAUCCUAGGCCAAGGACAUGUUUUCAGGUUGUCCCUCUCUUGUUGAUGUUACAAUACCUGACAUUUACUCUAAUAUCUAU